UGAUUAUAGUGGUGAAGAUGACGAUGACGAGGAGGAUGACGUGGAAGCUCUAUUGGCCGAGCUUGAACAAAUAAAGAAGGAAAAAGCAGAGGAGAAGUUACGGAAGGAACGACUAGAGAGGGAGGAAGAGCUUAAAGUCAAGGAAGCAGAGCUCACGGGUUUGUUGCUUGCUCGUGAGCCUCGUGGGAGACUGGUUCUAUGCGAGCUGUAAUUGCUUAAGUUUCACCUUAGCAACCUUUCAGCAUUAUGACUUUCUAAGGACUCACUCUUGGUUAUGUGUAGCCACUUCAAACUUGAGUAUGUAACUCAGUGAGAAGUGAGAACUAAAAUGAUCUUCAAGCAACCAGCACAUACUUGAAUAUGUA
Long non-coding RNA from Malus domestica (apple), 365 nucleotides. RefSeq lists it as uncharacterized. The record is from RefSeq and is a predicted model, not a curated record. Lineage: Eukaryota; Viridiplantae; Streptophyta; Magnoliopsida; Rosales; Rosaceae.